CGCCCGCCCUUCUGCUUUUUCUCCAGCCGCCGUUUCCUCCACCUUUCGCGCUCUAGCCACCCGGGAAGCCCAGUUAAGGGCAGCUAGGCUCUGAUUGGCUCCUUUAAAAGUCUACGGGCUAUCUGAUUGGUGAAUCCAGGACCCUUUAGCGCGGUGAGUUUGAAACUGCUCGCACUCAGCUCCAGAGCUGGCGCUUGGAAGUUAGGGGAGAGCGUCGCGGACGAGGAUCUACCAUACCCACUGAUUAAGUAUGGAAGACUAUACCAAAAUAGAGAAAAUUGGAGAAGGUGAGUGGUUUUAAUAAUAUAAAAGGAUUUUUAAAAAAUGAUUUAAUGAUUUGACGUCUUUGACACAAAGAUAUGUAAAUAUUCAAAUUCAGUUUUUAAAGUAUCUAACAGUACAUUAGUGCAUUAAUACAUAUGUUCUCUACAUAAUAGCAUAAGCAAAAAAUAAUAGUUAACCUUUCAAGAGAAUUGAAAUUAUUCUGACAUGUCUCCCUAACAGCACCCCUCCAAUAAUCUUACAUUCUUCUAAUACUAAACACUUAAAGCAAUAUAUCUAUAUAUUUUUAAAAAACACUAUUGCUGUUUUGUAGGUGUGUUGAGGAGAGUGUUAGGGCAGUGAAAUUAUGUGCUUUAGUUUUAAGUGCGUCUGCAUAUACUCUCUGAAGUUCUAGUCAGGGUCAUGUAUUUCAUUUGGUAGUUAAUGUCUUCUUAAUGUCUUUUGAUUAAAAUAGUUCUCUUGUCUUUUCCCCCUUGACAUUGAGUUUUUGACUACCCAGUUCAUUUCUUAAAUAUAUCAACUCUUAUUUCAGUUAUUACCGAGUUGUUCUAUGGUUUUCUUCUGAGUUAACAAAAAUAAUUCAUUGAACUCGGGUAAUAAUUUGAACCCCUUUCUGCCUUUUUAGAUCAUAGAGAACAUAACUAUAUGCAUGAUGUGGAACCUUGGUUGGCAUUUAGCAGACAACCUAUAACCAUUUGUUGAUUAAUAGUUUUUCUGUUUAUUGUUCAGUCUCCAUAAUUUGCCUAUAUUGAAGAUUUUUAAAUUUUAUAAUGCCUAGUUCAUUUCAAAGUGCAUGCCUUGCAUCUCACAAAUGAUUUUUGGUAAUGAACCAGUGAAAUGACUAUGCUCUGUUUAACUAGAGCACUGUUCCAGUACUUCAGUGAGAAGUGGCAAUGAUUCAAAAAGAGUCAGGAGAGACAAAGAGCACUUGUGAUGUCUAAAACUCAAUUCGUAUAUACUGAGUGUUCCCUAUAAGUUAAUCAGUGUCUAUUAUGAGUAAAUUUUAGGACCAGGUGAAUGUUGUACACUUGAGUGAGAGGUAAGAAUACUUAAAAAAAAAGUUUGAAUUAUCAUUA
RNAcentral lists this long non-coding RNA (1358 nucleotides) under Cervus hanglu yarkandensis (Yarkand deer). RNAcentral describes it as "lncRNA (ENSCHYG00000023512.1)". Lineage: Eukaryota; Metazoa; Chordata; Mammalia; Artiodactyla; Cervidae. The record is from RNAcentral.